GAGGGUAUAGCUCAAGUGGUAGAGCACAUGCUUAGCGUGAACAAGGUCCUGGGUUCAAUCCCCAGUACUUCCA
Molecule: transfer RNA, 73 nt
Filed under: Camelus bactrianus (Bactrian camel)
Lineage: Eukaryota; Metazoa; Chordata; Mammalia; Artiodactyla; Camelidae
Also listed under: 2 other names
Rfam family: tRNA
About the family: Transfer RNA (tRNA) molecules are approximately 80 nucleotides in length. Their secondary structure includes four short double-helical elements and three loops (D, anti-codon, and T loops).
Source: Rfam by way of RNAcentral